GAAAUACUCCCUUCGUUCGGAAUUACUUGUCGCCGAAAUGGAUGUAUCUAGACGUAUUUUAAUUUUAGAUACAUCCAUUUCCGAGACAAGUAAUUCCGAACGAAGAGAGUAGCAG
Non-coding RNA from Triticum aestivum (bread wheat), 115 nucleotides. NCBI's taxonomy places the organism in Eukaryota, Viridiplantae, Streptophyta, Magnoliopsida, Poales, Poaceae. The record is from Rfam.